CACAGUGUGAGAGCAUCCUUCCAAUAGUAUGGACGAGAGAGACAGAAGCAAGAUGCAAUUGGACAACCUAGAAUUAACCAGCAGUUCUCCAAGGACAGAAAAGAAACGGCAUUCGGAAAGGAAGAGACAACCGAGGCAAGAGACAGAAAUGCUUGAGAAUCCAUCUGAAAAUCAAAGAGCUCACAUGGAAAACCAUAAACAGCCCUGCUCUUCGACCAAAGUGCAGGGGAGAACAAGUCAAGGAGUGGGUCUUCAAACUACCCCGAAUGACAACGAGGUUCUCCAAAAGACCAGACAUCGCGAAAAAUGCAAAAAAAUCGUGUUUGAGAAUCUGGCCAUGGUCAUGAAAAAAGAAGCUGCGAAGAAGAGGCUUGAGGAGAGAGCCCUAAGCAAAACAGUGGACGAACGAGAAUAUGAAAGGAAAAUGAAAGAAAAACAGAUGAAAAGACUAGCGGCGGCAUCUAAGUCUGUGGAUACCACGUCAGACUGCCAGACAAGAUCUGCAAACCACGGAAGGGAGAAAGGUUAUGCGACACAAACACAGGAGGCACAGACUUUCAGGAAAUCAGCUAAGAAAAACAUAGUACUCCCGCCUGCACAUCAGCAAACGACCAAAGAAGCUUUUGCCUAUGACAAACAGGACACACUCAGCACGGAUGACAAGCUGGAGUCCAACCAAACCUUUGAGAAGCUAGAUGCCCUUAAGCAGACGACUCCCUUAGACAGCUCUAACCUAGACUGUGCCCCAAGCGUAACACAGGGGGAAAGACAGCAGGGUGUCAGCGAGGAAAGGAACAGUGCUCAGUCUACAUUAGAUGUUCUACCAGAAGAAAGCGAGGCGUGCCUUUCUAAAAAGGGCAAGUCUCGCGAGCAACGUAAAAGAAUCGUGCAGGACCAAAUAGCAGAGCUAAGGAAGAAAGAAGCUGCCAGCCAGGCUCUUAUUGAAGAAAAACUAUUUAAAGACAUGGCAGAGAUGGAACUUGAGGGAGAAACACUCGACCAACGACAGUGGGAGAUAAAAGCUGCGAGGAGAAAGUCUCUGACUGCCGUAAGGGAAGACCAGAUUCAAUACAAAAAGCAGAAAAAAAUGGAAACAGAUGAGGCUGAAAGGAAAGAGAGGCAAGCCUUGUUGGAAUCCGACAGGGUGUAUCAAGUUGAGCAAACUGAAAAAAGGAGACAAAAAACUCCUAAGUUGAGCCACGCUAACUCCAACACGUCUGGAAAAGAAAAACACGACCCAUGGUUGGACAGACCUCUUUCACACGCAAAAGAGCGGAAAUCCAGCGGGAAGGAUAAAACUGUAGUUGACCAAAGCACAAAUGACCAAAACAUACAGAGGGAAACAUGUGGGCUAAGGGAAGGCAGUAAAUCUAAGUUAGAGAUUCUCGAACACGACGGUGAGAAGUACACUCCUGAAAAGGUUAAGUAUCGUGAGAAAUGCAAGAAAAUCGUGUGUGACACAAUGGUAGACAUAAGGGAGAAAGAAGCUGCCAAGGUGGCUGUUGUGCAGGAAAAUCUACGGAGAGCAUUGGAAGAGCAGGAGUUUGCACAAGAAACACGGGACAGGAAAGAGAGAGAGAAAAGUGCCACAAUGAGAAAGGAUCUGACUGAAACAUGGGUUUCCCAAAUACAGGCUAAAAAGCAGAAAAAAAUGGAAACGGAUGAGGCUGAAAGGAAAGCGAGGCAAGCCUUGUUGGAAUCUGACAGGUUGUAUCAAGUUGAGCAAAGUGAAAAGAGGAGACAAAAGACACCUAAGUUGAGCCACGCUAACUCCAACACGGACUCUCGAAAAGAAAAACGCGACCCGUGGUUGGACAGACCUCGUUCACACACAAAAGAGCGGAAAUCCAGCGCGCAGGAUCAAAACUUACAGACAGAAACAUGUGAGAGUCGUAGCGGGCAAAGGGAAGGCAGUAAAUCUAAGUUAGAGAUUCUCGAACACGACGGUGAGAAGUACACUCCUGAAAAGGUUAAGUAUCGUGAGAAAUGCAAGAAAAUCGUGUGUGACACAAUGGUAGACAUAAGGGAGAAAGAAGCUGCCAAGGUGGCUGUUGUGCAGGAAAAUCUACGGAAAGCAUUGGAAGAGCAGGAGUUUGCACAAGAAACACGGGACAGGAAAGAGAGAGAGAAAAGUGCCACAAUGAGAAAGGAUCUGACUGAAACAUGGGUUUCCCAAAUACAGGCUAAAAAGCAGAAAAAAAUGGAAACGGAUGAGGCUGAAAGGACAGAGAGGCAAGCCUUGUUGGAAUCUGACAGGUUGUAUCAAAUUCAGCAAAGUGAAAAGAGGAGACAAAAGACUCCUAAGUUGAGCCACGCUAACUCCAACACGGACUCUCGAAAAGAAAAACGCGACCCGUGGUUGGACAGACCUCAUUCACACACAAAAGAGCAGAAACCCAGCGCGCAGGAUCAAAACUUACAGACAGAAACAUGUGAGAGUCGUAGCGGGCAAAGGGAAGGCAGUAAAUCUAAGUUAGAGAUUCUCGAACACGACGGUGAGAAGUACACUCCUGAAAAGGUUAAGUCUCGUGAGAAAUGCAAGAAAAUCGUGUGUGACACAAUGGUAGACAUAAGGGAGAAAGAAGCUGCCAAGGUGGCUGUUGUGCAGGAAAAUCUACGGAAAGCAUUGGAAGAGCAGGAGUUUGCACAAGAAACACGGGACAGGAAAGAGAGAGAGAAAAGUGCCACAAUGAGAAAGGAUCUGACUGAAACAUGGGUUUCCCAAAUACAGGCUAAAAAGCAGAAAAAAAUGGAAACGGAUGAGGCUGAAAGGAAAGCGAGGCAAGCCUUGUUGGAAUCUGACAGGUUGUAUCAAAUUCAGCAAAGUGAAAAGAGGAGACAAAAAACUUUCCAGGUGUGUGAGGCUACCUCCACCCAGGAUUUUCCAAAAGAUAAACAUGACAGACAGCUGAAAGAAUCGGAUGAAAAACUCAGCAAGCAGGAGGAAUUGGAGUUGGAGCAACUGAUGCAAGACCAAUUCAGUGAGGAGGAUGAAGAUUUUGACAAAUUCGAGUUUCUACAGGACAACGUCCCUGAAAGCGUCAAAAGUCGUGAGAGACGUACCAAAAGGGUGAGUGAAGAAUUAGCACUUAUAAGGAAGAGAGAAGCUGCAGAGAUGGCCCUCCUGGAGGAAAACCUAUUGAGAAAUAUGGAAAAUCAGGAAGCUGCGGCGACAGCACGUGAGACACAGGAGAAGGAGAAAAAAGCUGCGAUCGGCAAGGUCCUAACUGAGGCUUGGGACUACCAAGUACAAUACAAAGAGCAGCAGAAAAAGGAACGCUGUGAGACUGAAUGCAAAGAGAGGCGCUCCUUAAUUGAAUUGGACAGGUUGUAUGAAAUUGAAAAACAGAAAAGGAUCGAGCUGCAGAAGAAAAAAGCUUCCGUUAAUAGGGAAAAGGACAUCGCUCUUGCAGAAUCAAGACGGGCCAAAAUUAGAAAUCAGUCACACGGAGGAAUGAAAGGGGCAUUUCCUCCCUUGAUGCCUCUGAAAUCACUGCAACGCGGGGCCACGUCUGAUGCUAAUGUCAAACACGUUGACCCACUUCCAAAACCUGGCCCUCUUUUACAGAGAAGGCACAAUUUAGCCAACAGACCCCCACCAUCCCCCGAACCUCCUAUACCUAAUAGGAUUGUAUUGGAUGGUAACAGCACCGCCAGUAUAAAGACACCUUUUAAACUCCCAUCUAUUGACGGCCAUGUAAGGAAAACCCCUAUGCCGUUCUUCGAAUUUAGUAGACCUCGGAGGUCUGUAUUCAAGGAGGACAGCACUGCCACUGAAAAGACGACCUUAAAACUCCCACCUAUUCACUCCCCUCCAAGUAGACCUGCCAGGUCUAGAGGCCAAAAGACUAAUCAAGGGAGGCUUUGAUAAGCUGCUGAUGCAUUUAAUCAUUGGUAUUCAGCACGCUCAAAGCACUGGAUGCAGAGGUUCCUCAAACCACCGUUCCUUUUUCUCCACCUCUGCAUGUCAGUGACCCCCAUUCCUUCAUUUUAUAUAAUUUAUCUCAGCUGAAACUGGCUUUGUUAGUUAAAUCAGUACUCCUUCCCAACACACAGGUUCUCUCCGGGUACUCCGGCUUUUCCACAAAAAGCACACAGCCUGCAUCUUAGGACUAUUGUAAACCUUUAAAGGUUCCUAGUCGUGUGCCUGGUUGUUUGUUUCUGUUUCUGUAUGAUAGAUUGUUGACUUAUCCAUUUGAAGGUAAGAACCAGCCCCCUCCCUUUGA
RNA transcript from Fundulus heteroclitus (mummichog), 4226 nucleotides. It is a transcript of the gene named trichohyalin-like, with no coding region annotated. The transcript is spliced from 2 exons. The record is from RefSeq and is a predicted model, not a curated record. Lineage: Eukaryota; Metazoa; Chordata; Actinopteri; Cyprinodontiformes; Fundulidae.